CGUCCAGUUUUUCACUCCGGCUUUGUGCCCGGACAAGGUCCGGUUCCUUUUCCAGCAUCGAUCGGCUUUCAUGGCGGUGGUGGCUGGCUUGAGAGCGGUUUUCCUUUGCUUCGAUUUAAUCAUUUUGGUUUUUAGGAAUAAUACCCUCGACUUUAUUUAAAUUCAAGUUCAAAUAUAAUUUUUUCAGCCAUAAGUCCGGUUCCUUUUCCAGCAUCGAUCAU
This is a long non-coding RNA of Arabidopsis thaliana (thale cress), 221 nucleotides long. RefSeq annotates it as other RNA. The record is from RefSeq. The transcript has a single exon. Lineage: Eukaryota; Viridiplantae; Streptophyta; Magnoliopsida; Brassicales; Brassicaceae.